GAUGAACGCUGGCGGCGUGCCUAAUACAUGCAAGUCGAGCGAACGGACGAGAAGCUUGCUUCUCUGAUGUUAGCGGCGGACGGGUGAGUAACACGUGGAUAACCUACCUAUAAGACUGGGAUAACUUCGGGAAACCGGAGCUAAUACCGGAUAAUAUUUUGAACCGCAUGGUUCAAAAGUGAAAGACGGUCUUGCUGUCACUUAUAGAUGGAUCCGCGCUGCAUUAGCUAGUUGGUAAGGUAACGGCUUACCAAGGCAACGAUGCAUAGCCGACCUGAGAGGGUGAUCGGCCACACUGGAACUGAGACACGGUCCAGACUCCUACGGGAGGCAGCAGUAGGGAAUCUUCCGCAAUGGGCGAAAGCCUGACGGAGCAACGCCGCGUGAGUGAUGAAGGUCUUCGGAUCGUAAAACUCUGUUAUUAGGGAAGAACAUAUGUGUAAGUAACUGUGCACAUCUUGACGGUACCUAAUCAGAAAGCCACGGCUAACUACGUGCCAGCAGCCGCGGUAAUACGUAGGUGGCAAGCGUUAUCCGGAAUUAUUGGGCGUAAAGCGCGCGUAGGCGGUUUUUUAAGUCUGAUGUGAAAGCCCACGGCUCAACCGUGGAGGGUCAUUGGAAACUGGAAAACUUGAGUGCAGAAGAGGAAAGUGGAAUUCCAUGUGUAGCGGUGAAAUGCGCAGAGAUAUGGAGGAACACCAGUGGCGAAGGCGACUUUCUGGUCUGUAACUGACGCUGAUGUGCGAAAGCGUGGGGAUCAAACAGGAUUAGAUACCCUGGUAGUCCACGCCGUAAACGAUGAGUGCUAAGUGUUAGGGGGUUUCCGCCCCUUAGUGCUGCAGCUAACGCAUUAAGCACUCCGCCUGGGGAGUACGACCGCAAGGUUGAAACUCAAAGGAAUUGACGGGGACCCGCACAAGCGGUGGAGCAUGUGGUUUAAUUCGAAGCAACGCGAAGAACCUUACCAAAUCUUGACAUCCUUUGACAACUCUAGAGAUAGAGCCUUCCCCUUCGGGGGACAAAGUGACAGGUGGUGCAUGGUUGUCGUCAGCUCGUGUCGUGAGAUGUUGGGUUAAGUCCCGCAACGAGCGCAACCCUUAAGCUUAGUUGCCAUCAUUAAGUUGGGCACUCUAAGUUGACUGCCGGUGACAAACCGGAGGAAGAUGGGGAUGACGUCAAAUCAUCAUGCCCCUUAUGAUUUGGGCUACACACGUGCUACAAUGGACAAUACAAAGGGCAGCGAAACCGCGAGGUCAAGCAAAUCCCAUAAAGUUGUUCUCAGUUCGGAUUGUAGUCUGCAACUCGACUACAUGAAGCUGGAAUCGCUAGUAAUCGUAGAUCAGCAUGCUACGGUGAAUACGUUCCCGGGUCU
RNAcentral lists this ribosomal RNA (1372 nucleotides) under uncultured bacterium. Its description in RNAcentral is "bacterial SSU rRNA". It matches the Rfam family "Bacterial small subunit ribosomal RNA", at positions 28 to 1381 of the family's 1533-position model. The record is from RNAcentral.